ACCCAGAUAAAAUGGCACACGUUUAGCGUUAUGCUAACCUCACCCAGAUAAAAUGGCACACGUUUAGCGUUAUGCUAACCUCACCCAGAUAAAAUGGCACACGUUUAGCCCUAUGCUAACCUCACCCAGAUAAAAUGGCACACGUUUAGCCCUAUGCUAACCUCACCCAGAUAAAAUGGCACACGUUUAGCCAUAUGCUAACCUCACCCAGAUAAAAUGGCACACGUUUAGCCCUAUGCUAACCUCACCCAGAUAAAAUGGCACACGUUUAGCCCUAUGCUAACAUCACCCAGAUAAAAUGGCACACGUUUAGCCUUAUGCUAACCUCACCCAGAUAAAAUGGCACACGUUUAGCGUUAUGCUAACCUCACCCAGAUAAAAUGGCACACGUUUAGCCUUAUGCUAACCUCACCCAGAUAAAAUGGCACACGUUUAGCCUUAUGCUAACCUCACCCAGAUAAAAUGGCACACGUUUAGCCUUAUGCUAAACUCACCCAGAUAAAAUGGCACAGGUUUAGCCCUAUGCUAACCUCACCCAGAUAAAACGGCACACGUUUAGCCCUAUGCUAACCUCACCCAGAUAAAAUGGCACACGUUUAGCCCUAUGCUAACCUCACCCAGAUAAAAUGGCACACGUUUAGCCCUAUGCUAACCUCACCCAGAUAAAAUGGCACACGUUUAGCCUUAUGCUAACCUCACCCAGAUAAAAUGGCACACGUUUAGCCCUAUGCUAACCUCACCCAGAUAAAAUGGCACACGUUUAGCCAUAUGCUAACCUCACCCAGAUAAAAUGGCACACGUUUAGCCCUAUGCUAACCUCACCCAGAUAAAAUGGCACACGUUUAGCCCUAUGCUAACAUCACCCAGAUAAAAUGGCACACGUUUAGCCUUAUGCUAACCUCACCCAGAUAAAAUGGCACACGUUUAGCGUUAUGCUAACCUCACCCAGAUAAAAUGGCACACGUUUAGCCUUAUGCUAACCUCACCCAGAUAAAAUGGCACACGUUUAGCCUUAUGCUAACCUCACCCAGAUAAAAUGGCACACGUUUAGCCUUAUGCUAAACUCACCCAGAUAAAAUGGCACAGGUUUAGCCCUAUGCUAACCUCACCCAGAUAAAACGGCACACGUUUAGCCCUAUGCUAACCUCACCCAGAUAAAAUGGCACACGUUUAGCCCUAUGCUAACCUCACCCAGAUAAAAUGGCACACGUUUAGCCCUAUGCUAACCUCACCCAGAUAAAAUGGCACACGUUUAGCCUUAUGCUAACCUCACCCAGAUAAAAUGGCACACGUUUAGCCCUAUGCUAACAUCACCCAGAUAAAAUGGCACACGUUUAGCCUUAUGCUAACCUCACCCAGAUAAAAUGGCACAUGUUUAGCCCUAUGCUAACCUCACCCAGAUAAAAUGGCACAUGUUUAGCCCUAUGCUAACCUCACCCAGAUAAAAUGGCACAGGUUUAGCCCUAUGCUAACCUCACCCAGAUAAAAUGGCACACGUUUAGCCUUAUGCUAACCUCACCCAGAUAAAAUGGCACACGUUUAGCCCUAUGCUAACAUCACCCAGAUAAAAUGGCACACGUUUAGCCUUAUGCUAACCUCACCCAGAUAAAAUGGCACAUGUUUAGCCCUAUGCUAACCUCACCCAGAUAAAAUGGCACAGGUUUAGCCCUAUGCUAACCUCACCCAGAUAAAAUGGCACACGUUUAGCCCUAUGCUAACAUCACCCAGAUAAAAUGGCACACGUUUAGCCUUAUGCUAACCUCACCCAGAUAAAAUGGCACAUGUUUAGCCCUAUGCUAACCUCACCCAGAUAAAAUGGCACAGGUUUAGCCCUAUGCUAACCUCACCCAGAUAAAAUGGCACACGUUUAGCCUUAUGCUAACCUCACCCAGAUAAAAUGGCACACGUUUAGCCCUAUGCUAACCUCACCCAGAUAAAAUGGCACAGGUUUAGCCCUAUGCUAACCUCACCCAGAUAAAAUGGCACACGUUUAGCCCUAUGCUAACCUCACCCAGAUAAAAUGGCACACGUUUAGCCUUAUGCUAACCUCACCCAGAUAAAAUGGCACACGUUUAGCCCUAUGCUAACAUCACCCAGAUAAAAUGGCACACGUUUAGCCUUAUGCUAACCUCACCCAGAUAAAAUGGCACAUGUUUAGCCCUAUGCUAACCUCACCCAGAUAAAAUGGCACAUGUUUAGCCUUAUGCUAACCUCACCCAGAUAAAAUGGUACACGUUUAGCCCUAUGCUAACCUCACCCAGAUAAAAUGGCACACGUUUAGCCCUAUGCUAACCUCACCCAGAUAAAAUGGCACAUGUUUAGCCUUAUGCGACCGUGUCGGCGUGCACUGCGCCCGGCCAGCCACAGGAGUCGCUAGUGCGCGAUGAGACAAGGAUAUCCCUGCCGGCCAAACCCUCCCCUAACCUGGACGACGCUGGGCCAAUCGUGCGUGGCCCCAUGGGCCUCCCGGUCGCGGCCCGGCUGCGACAGAGCCUGGACUCGAACCCAGAAUCUCUAGUGGCACUGCUAGCACUGCGAUGCAGCACCUUAGAGAGCACUGAGCCACUCGGGAGGCAUCUGCUUUGUCACUUAAGGCUAUAUGUUAUUUGACUCGAGGAGGAUGACCGUGCCCAUGUGUACAGUGGGAUUGAUUAUAGGUUGCACUCUCGUUAUCAUCCUACAGAUGGCAGUAUUGAAGUUAUUUUUUAAAUACGUUUUAUUUGCGAGUCCGAGGGACUGGAACAGACGGUCUUAAUGGAGCCGACUCUGUAAAUCUAUCUGAUGGGGAAUUAGUUCUAUUUGACAAAGUCAUCUCAACUCUCUGAUUAGCCUUUUCUGUAGGCCAGCUACUAUAGGAUCUCCAAUCAACGGAGCUACAUUCAUUCACAUCAAAUAGCGGUUUCCUUAUGUUAUAACCUGCUAAUGAAUAUGGGGAAUUAUAAUGGUACACCUCAAUUCAUAAUGGACCUCGUUAACCACCGCGGUCCUAUUCCAUAUGUACUGUAGCCUCGGCUUCCAGGCGGCCGAGGCGAACGCAUGGUGGAGCCUACCCAGGGAGUGAAUACGCCCUCUCCUGGCUAAGAGACGUUAGUGUAGGCUAUCAUCAGUAAGAUGUAUUCUUGUGUAGGCUACACUUACAUGCAGGCCUACAGCGUUUUACAAGCUAUGCGUUAUUAUAUACAUGGACUUCGUGACAUGCGUUUUGAAUUGAGCGUCAAAGACCGGGAGUGAACAGUUUUUUUUUCUCUCCCCUCAACAGAAAAGGCUUGAUGUGAACCCAUGAUUAAAAUGCACUAUUGAUUUCAAGUCAACCACUUUAGCAGUGUGCCACUUAGAAACAAUGGUAAUAGCAGUAGCCUACAAGACUGCUAUUUAACUAUUAUUUUAUUUAAACAUGGGAUUUUUGUCAUGUAUUUGAAAACGUGAAACUGUUGUUAGCUCGUAGCUAGUAGCCUAGUCAAGGAUACAUCAGGAUACAUUGGCUCUCCACAUUGUGUUACAGAUCAAUGGAGAGAAAAAAAAGUAAACCUUAAAUUUGUAGGUUUAAAAUAUCUCCCUGGUGACCAGGGUUGACUUGUUUUAAGAAAUGCCAUCGAUUGGUGGAUAUAAAGUCUAAGAUGUUUGAUAGGCUGACGAAGCAUUUGUUCUUGGAUGUGAUCAUUGCCACCUACCUGGGAGGUUAGCAUAAGGCUAACGUGUGGCAUGUUAUCCGAUGGGACCAACUACUAUUUAGCGUUGUCACAUGCAGGUCAAUCGACAAUAUUAAUUGGCCGAUACACAUUUUGAGCCGGAGAAACUGUUUAAAUUUGAAUGGUUGCUUAUGUUCGUAAUUAUCGCCCCCUUGUAUGCUAUGUUUAUCUCACUCGAGUUGUGUUCUGAUUAUGAGGGGGGUCCUUGAUGAAAAAAGGAGUCCCCUGCCCCACAAUUAUUUUUUGAGAACCCCUGCCCAAUUUUAGUGCACAACUUUUCUGGUCAAGAGUAGAGCACCAUAUAUGGAAUAGGUUGCCAUUUGGGGCGUAGACACAGCCUCACCUGGACAGGCAGGUGACCAAGACGAUGUAGACACAGCCUCACCUGGACAGGCAGGUUACCAAGACGAUGUAGACACAGCCUCACUUGGACAGGCAGGUGACCAAGACAAUGUAGACACAGCCUCACCUGGACAGGCAGGUGACCAAGACGAUGUAGACACAGCCUCACCUGGACAGGCAGGUGACCAAGACGAUGUAGACACAGCCUCACCUGGACAGGCAGGUGACCAAGACGAUGUAGACACAGCCUCACCUGGACAGGCAGGUGACCAAGACCUGUAUAACUCAUAACACAAACACAUGCUUUUGGUUCGGGAACCGGACCCAUAGGAACAACCACACCUGUAUGUGUACCUGUACAGCCAUACCAGCAUGCUCUAUAACUGGGCUUGGCAACAGGAGGCCUAACAGGCAGCUUUUAUAAAGACUGUUAAAAAUCACCAGGAAUUCAGCUAAAAUUGGUUUAAUUUAGUAAAUAUGUUCAAUUAAUUUUGGGCUUAGUUCAAUCCGAGCAAACCGACACAGCUGAUGUUUUGACCUUUUGUCGGGAGGUGGAACUACAUUGGAGAGGUCAAACAUUUCUGUCACCUUAAUGGAGGUGUAGAUUUACAUCUCACACUCCAGUGUUCCGACAUGUAAACAAAUCUGCAUUGGGAUUUCUCUUAAUUAAUGCGACGCCGUGCGACCGAUGGCAACGGUCGCUUUAGGUUACAGUCAGGGACUGCGGUUUAAAAUUAUCCCGCUGGCUAAAACCGGCACUUUUACUGAAACGUUGAUUAAUGUGCACUGUCCCUGUAAAAAUAAAAUGAACUCAAACUCAAACAAUGCCAGGAUCCCCUUGUGGAUUUCACGUCUCUAACGCAGUUCCACCUACGAUACCGCCAAAAUGUAAAUAUUAGUAUAGAGUUAUGUUCUGACCCCCCUCCCCGACCAUCUGCGCUGACAUAAAUCGGGCCUGCGUCUGAAUGUAGGCGCAUCUUGUUGUUUUAUAGGAUCACGGGACACUGCUUCCACUACAGAUUAUGUUCCCUCACUUUGCUUAAUUAAAAAAGGGAUUGUUAUUUAAAUAAACACAUUCUGUGAAUGUCUGGAAGAACAAAUGGAUUUGUUUAUUUUUUAUUUUUUUGUCGAUAAAGUUUGACAAGUUUUGUAUGUUGUCAAUGUUUUAGUGAACGUGCAGUACAUCGAGAAAGUUAUUUUGAAUGGAAAUGGAUGUUUUUAAAAGAAGGAAAAUGUUUUUGUUUUUUUAAACUCUUAUUUAAUAUAUUUAUAGCUGUUUAUAACUGCUAGGAAUUGUAGCAUGUAUGAAUACCUGGUUGUAUGUCAUGUGUAUCAUCUGUGUAUACUGGUGAAUCCCUGGUCUAUUAUAAUAUAUCAAUAUUUUUUCGUA
Molecule: long non-coding RNA, 5421 nt
Organism: Oncorhynchus keta (chum salmon)
Lineage: Eukaryota; Metazoa; Chordata; Actinopteri; Salmoniformes; Salmonidae
Exons: 3
Source: RefSeq, a predicted model, not a curated record